This 429-nucleotide ribosomal RNA is filed under the name Verrucomicrobiota bacterium. RNAcentral describes it as "Verrucomicrobia bacterium partial 16S ribosomal RNA". It matches the Rfam family "Bacterial small subunit ribosomal RNA", at positions 355 to 776 of the family's 1533-position model. Lineage: Bacteria; Pseudomonadati; Verrucomicrobiota. The record is from RNAcentral.
UAGGGAAUCUUCCGCAAUGGACGAAAGUCUGACGGAGCAACGCCGCGUGAGUGAAGAAGGAUUUCGGUUCGUAAAACUUUGUUGUUAGGGAAGAAAAAAUGUAUAGUAACUAUAUACAAAAGAGACGGUACCUAACCAGAAAGCCACGGCUAACUACGUGCCAGCAGCCGCGGUAAUACGUAGGUGGCAAGCGUUGUCCGGAAUUAUUGGGCGUAAAGCGCGCGCAGGUGGUUUAGAAAGUCUGAUGUGAAAGCCCACGGCUCAACCGUGGAGGGUCAUUGGAAACUAAUAAACUUGAGUGCAGGAGAGAAAAGUGGAAUUCCUAGUGUAGCGGUGAAAUGCGUAGAGAUUAGGAGGAACGCCGGUGGCGAAAGCGGCUUUUUGGCCUGCAACUGACACUGAGGCGCGAAAGCGUGGGGAGCAAACAGG